RNAcentral lists this ribosomal RNA (445 nucleotides) under uncultured bacterium. RNAcentral's name for it is "partial 16S ribosomal RNA". It matches the Rfam family "Bacterial small subunit ribosomal RNA", at positions 354 to 796 of the family's 1533-position model. The record is from RNAcentral.
GUGAGGAAUAUUGGUCAAUGGGCGCGAGCCUGAACCAGCCAAGUCGCGUGAAGGAAGAAGGAUCUAUGGUUCGUAAACUUCUUUUGCAGGGGAAUAAAGUGCGGGACGUGUCCUGUUUUGUAUGUACCCUGAGAAUAAGGAUCGGCUAACUCCGUGCCAGCAGCCGCGGUAAUACGGAGGAUCCGAGCGUUAUCCGGAUUUAUUGGGUUUAAAGGGUGCGUAGGUGGUUUGAUAAGUCAGCGGUGAAAGUUUGCAGCUUAACUGUAAAAAUGCCGUUGAAACUGUCGGACUUGAGUGUAAAUGAGGUAGGCGGAAUGCGUGGUGUAGCGGUGAAAUGCAUAGAUAUCACGCAGAACUCCGGUUGCGAAGGCAGCUUACUAAGCUACAACUGACACUGAAGCACGAAAGCGUGGGGAUCAAACAGGAUUAGAAACCCCGGUAGUCC